This 866-nucleotide ribosomal RNA is filed under the name Pseudomonas putida. RNAcentral describes it as "bacterial SSU rRNA". It matches the Rfam family "Bacterial small subunit ribosomal RNA", at positions 61 to 927 of the family's 1533-position model. Lineage: Bacteria; Pseudomonadati; Pseudomonadota; Gammaproteobacteria; Pseudomonadales; Pseudomonadaceae. The record is from RNAcentral.
GUCGAGCGGAUGACGGGAGCUUGCUCCUUGAUUCAGCGGCGGACGGGUGAGUAAUGCCUAGGAAUCUGCCUGGUAGUGGGGGACAACGUUCCGAAAGGGGCGCUAAUACCGCAUACGUCCUACGGGAGAAAGUGGGGGAUCUUCAGACCUCACGCUAUCAGAUGAGCCUAGGUCGGAUUAGCUAGUUGGUGAGGUAAAGGCUCACCAAGGCGACGAUCCGUAACUGGUCUGAGAGGAUGAUCAGUCACACUGGAACUGAGACACGGUCCAGACUCCUACGGGAGGCAGCAGUGGGGAAUAUUGGACAAUGGGCGAAAGCCUGAUCCAGCCAUGCCGCGUGUGUGAAGAAGGUCUUCGGAUUGUAAAGCACUUUAAGUUGGGAGGAAGGGCAGUAAGUUAAUACCUUGCUGUUUUGACGUUACCGACAGAAUAAGCACCGGCUAACUCUGUGCCAGCAGCCGCGGUAAUACAGAGGGUGCAAGCGUUAAUCGGAAUUACUGGGCGUAAAGCGCGCGUAUGUGGUUCGUUAAAUUGGAUGUGAAAGCCCCGGGCUCAACCUGGGAACUGCAUCCGAAACUGGCGAGCUAUAGUAUGGUAGAGGGUGGUGGAAUUUCCUGUGUAGCGGUGAAAUGCGUAUAUAUAGGAAGGAACACCAAUGGCGAAGGCGACCACCUGGACUGAUACUGACACUGACGUGCAAACGUGGGGAGCAAACAGGAUUAGAUACCCUGGUAGUCCACGCCGUAAACCAUGUCAACUAGCCCUUGGAAUCCUUGAGAUUUUAGUGGCGCAGCUAAGCAUUAAGUUGACCGCCUGGGGAGUACGGCCGCAAGGUUAAAACUCAAAUGAAUAACAGGGGCCGCACA